AUUGAACGCUGGCGGCAGGCCUAACACAUGCAAGUCGAGCGAGCGGCGGACGGGUGAGUAAUGUCUGGGAAACUGCCUGAUGGAGGGGGAUAACUACUGGAAACGGUAGCUAAUACCGCAUACCAUCAGAGGUGCCCAGAUGGGAGUAGCUAGUAGGUGGGGGAACGGCUCACCUAGGCGACGAUCCCUAGCUGGUCUGAGAGGAGGACCAGCCACACUGGAACUGAGACACGGCCCAGACUCCUACGGGAGGCAGCAGUGGGGAAUAUUGCACAAUGGGCGCAAGCCUGAUGCAGCCAUGCCGCGUGUGUGAAGAAGGCCUUAGGGUUGUAAAGCACUUUCAGCGGGGAGGCGUUACCCGCAGAAGAAGCACCGGCUAACUCCGUGCCAGCAGCCGCGGUAAUUC
This 406-nucleotide ribosomal RNA is filed under the name uncultured bacterium. Its description in RNAcentral is "partial 16S ribosomal RNA". It matches the Rfam family "Bacterial small subunit ribosomal RNA", at positions 29 to 526 of the family's 1533-position model. The record is from RNAcentral.